RNAcentral lists this ribosomal RNA (931 nucleotides) under uncultured archaeon. RNAcentral describes it as "bacterial SSU rRNA". It matches the Rfam family "Archaeal small subunit ribosomal RNA", at positions 15 to 922 of the family's 1478-position model. The record is from RNAcentral.
CGCCGGACCCCCACUGCUAUCGGGAUGGGACUAAAGACAUGCUAGUCGUGGCGCUCAAGCCAUGGUGGAGGCGCGGCGUACAGCUCAGUAACACGUGGCUAACCUGCCUUAGGACAGGGAUAACUCCGGGAAACUGGAGCUAAUCCUGAUAGGUGUGGAUUCCUGGAAUGGGUCCUCGCUGAAAAGGCGUCUAAACCAUGCUUUUAGACGCCGCCUAAGGAUGGGGCCGCGGCCGAUCAGGUUGUUGGUGAGGUAACGGCUCACCAAGCCUAUAACCGGUACGGGCCGUGGGAGCGGUAGCCCGGAGAUGGACACUGAGACAAGGGUCCAGGCCCUACGGGGCGCAGCAGUCGCGAAACCUCCGCAAUACACGAAAGUGUGACGGGGCCAUCCCGAGUGCCAUCCGCUGAGGAUGGCUUUUCCCCAGUGUAGACAGCUGGGGGAAUAAGGAGAGGGCAAGUCGGGUGUCAGCCGCCGCGGUAAUACCCGCUCUCCGAGUGGUGGGGACGCUUAUUGGGCCUAAAGCAUCCGUAGCCGGCUGGAUAAGUCCCCUGUUAAAUCCAGCGAUUCAAUCGUUGGACUGCGGGGGAUACUGUCUAGCUAGGGGGCGGGAGGGGCCGACGGUAUUCCCGGGGUAGGGGUGAAAUCUUAUAAUCCCGGGAGGACCACCAGUGGCGAAGGCUGUCGGCUAGAACGCGCCCGACGGUGAGGGAUGGAAGCUGGGGGAGCGAACCGGAUUAGAUACCCGGGUAGUCCCAGCCGUAAACGAUGCAGGCUAGGUGUCAACGCGGCUACGAGCCGCGUUGGUGCCGCAAGGAAACCGUUAAGCCUGCCGCCUGGGGAGUACGGCCGCAAGGCUGAAACUUAAAGGAAUUGGCGGGGGAGCACCACAAGGGGUGAAGCUUGCGGUUUAAUUGGAUUCAACGCCGGA